UAUCAAGCGAUAUAAAGAAAAUGAAAAAUAUAAGGUUAUGCUGCCCUAAGGAAAACAUGGCGUUAGCCUUGCAAGAAAUUCGUGGAGGAAACUCUAUUGCACAAAUAUCUCGAAAAUAUAACAUUCCACAGUAACGCGCGGAAUGCUCACAGUAUUUGACAUGCGGUAAUCGGAACGUCCGCAGUACUUGGCUCGCAGUAAUGGAUACAUAACCGCAGGAUCCAAUAUUUUGAGAAAAGUAAACGUUCAAGUUGAAGAAUAGAACUGGCGAAUUAAUCUACGAAUGGGACAUAUCUCGGCAUCGCCGAGAGAAAGCCGUGAAAUGAGAGGCGGCCGCCUGAAUGGAAGAGCGAAGCGGCCGAUCGCUGAUCAGGAAAGUUCGGGGGCACCUUCGGACCCUCCGAACGGUCGUUACGAUUCGAAAACGUCCAACGGACUGCUGAGAGGCUGCUGCCCGCUGCUCACUUCGUUCCACGUUUCAUCGACUCUCCCGUUAUGCAACCCGUCUGCCACGCUCUCGGCGACCGACCGGCAUUAGCUUGCCCGAGGGUCACUUCCUUGACCGUGAACCAGGCAACAGUCCCACUGUUACCUCACGCCAGCUGGCAUCUUGGUUAGAGGUAGGUCGAGGGCUCGCGUAGGUUCGCGAUCUCUUCGCGUUCAAGGCCGCCGUUCGAAGAGACGUUCUCGGCGCUAGAGAACCGACUCCCAGAGACGAUUCUCUUAAGGGGUCUUUGAACCGCUCGGAGCGGUGGACAAUAAGCGGUUAUGGUCUGGUUCUCGACCGGUCGCUUUUGGCAGCUGCCAGCGAACGGUGUACGCCGUUUUGAGAGACGGAAACGGCGGACGCCUGGCGUUUAGGCGGAAAAUGAGGCCGGUUCGGGGUCCGAAAGAAGAUGCGGGGGAACGAUGGACGAUCGCGAGAACGCUGCUGCAUGGUUACUAUUGUUCAAAAGCAUCUUUCCGGGUAUACAGUGGUCAAUGUAUAUUUAAGAACUGCUUGAUAUUAUGUAUUAUUAUUAUUAGACCGCGGAUCUUUAUGCAAAAUAAAUAUUCUAAUCAUCGCUCACAUCAAACAGAAAUGAGAUAAAAACGUGUUUCUUCGUUUAACGAUGUUAGUAUAGUGAAAGCAGUGCUGCGGUAUUUCUAAAUUUAUUUCUUGUUUUCGCUGUUCUGUGUUUCGUUCAUUCAUUUUCUAAACCGAAAAAAAAACAAGAAAAACCGCGGUCUAAUUAUUACACACGAUGGUAAUAUACAGGGUGGGGCAUUUGAAACA
Long non-coding RNA from Megalopta genalis, 1276 nucleotides. RefSeq lists it as uncharacterized. The record is from RefSeq and is a predicted model, not a curated record. NCBI's taxonomy places the organism in Eukaryota, Metazoa, Arthropoda, Insecta, Hymenoptera, Halictidae.